Molecule: ribosomal RNA, 217 nt
Filed under: uncultured bacterium
Lineage: Bacteria
Description: partial 16S ribosomal RNA
Rfam family: Bacterial small subunit ribosomal RNA
Source: RNAcentral
UACGUAGGGUGCAAGCGUUAUCCGGAAUUAUUGGGCGUAAAGAGCUCGUAGGCGGUUUGUCGCGUUCUGCUGUGAAAACUGGAGGCUCAACCUCCAGCCUGCAGUGGGUACGGGCAGACUAGAGUGCGGUAGGGGGAGAUUGGAAUUCCUGGUGUAGCGGUGGAAUGCGCAGAUAUCAGGAGGAACACCGAUGGCGGAAGGCAGAUCUCUGGGCCGU